Molecule: unclassified non-coding RNA, 1456 nt
Filed under: Hevea brasiliensis (rubber tree)
Lineage: Eukaryota; Viridiplantae; Streptophyta; Magnoliopsida; Malpighiales; Euphorbiaceae
Source: RNAcentral
GCCAUUUCUAGUUAAGAAUUAUAAUAAUAUCUCAGUGAUCAUCUAUUUUUGUGGUACAUCAACAUUCAGAAUUUUGAAGGGAUAAAAGAAAUGAUGCCAACUUGAAGCCUCAAACUUCAAAAUUACAUAAAUGCUUGAAUUGUUAUUGGAAUCACAGAAUGCCUACUAGGAAUAGCAGAAAAAUAAAAACUUCCCACUUGAUUUCUGAUUUCAUGCCCUGAGAAGCACGCAAAACAACAUUGUCAACAAUAGGACCGCAGAACACACCAUCCUUUGUCUGUGUAGUGGCAUAGCUGACAAAACUGAUGAGAGUUGUAGUUGAAUCUGCCUUGAAUGCCAGAGAGAGCUUCUUGGCUGAACCAGUCCCAUUACUCUGCAAUGUAAAAUUCUGAGCUGUGGAUCCUGCCUGAGCCCCAACUACAAAAUUCCCCUCACAUGAGUCAUUAGCGUCACCUAGAGUGAACUCCAAACUAUAUGUUGAACCAUCUUUGAGUGUAGUUGCUGCCUGUAUGCUAGCUGAAACUCCUGAGACAAACUCAACUGCAGCAUUGCCUUCAGGGACAAAGUAGUGUUUGGAGUCUAUGUAUUUGACUGUUCCUGUUAUAGACCAUUGUCUCAGUGGGGAGAGAACAGCAGUAGGUACUGGAUCAAGUAGAAUCCCUUCAGUGGAGUUGCUAAGGAAUUCUGGGCCAUAUUCAAAUCCUCCAUUCAACAAAAGGUUAUUAUCGCCUGGGACAAGUGUUUCAAUGGUUUUGAGAAGAAGCUUGUCAAUCAGUGGCCAACACGUGGAAUUAGCAUCAGAUUCUGUUGAUUGGCUUUCGAGGACAAGGUUAAUAGUCUCUUGCUGUUCCCAACUACCCAAGUAGAGACCAAAGGUCUCCCAUCCUUCCUUCCCAUAAUCCUGCUUAAAGGAGAAGAUCGAGUGGCUAUCUGGUGCUGAGACACCAACAUUGGCAUUAGUUGAACAAUUCUGUCCUCCUGGAGCAAGCGUGAAGGUGAGCAGGUAAUCUACAUAAUCAGCAAUAGGAUUGAAAGUUUGGUUAAUCUUGCCAUCUUGUCCCAGUUGUAAGGCAUGCCCAUUCCCUGGCAAUGCUAUUGUCUGAGUAGUUGUAACGUACAGGAUUGUCCCUUCAAAUGACCAUCCUGGAAUGGUGCUGUUUUCAUUCAAUUGCUGAAAUGGGGUGGUGGAAUUUUUUGGCAAGUUUGAUGGCGGAAUUUCAAAAUCUGAGUUCUGCAGAAGAUCUGCAAAUGCUGGUCCUAUGAGAAGGAGCGACACGAGAAAUAUUUGCCGAUGCAUUUUCUUGCUUGAGAAAGACGAAGAACAGGCACCGAGAUUCAUGCCCUAUAUGCGUUCAUGAGUUGACUUUGAAUUGCUGACGUCCAUACCAAUACAUUGACUUGCAAGCUGUAAUGCAUUGACUUGCAAGCUGUAAUUAAUGAAGUGGAUCCAAGAUUG